This 334-nucleotide unclassified non-coding RNA is filed under the name soil metagenome. RNAcentral's name for it is "partial contains 5.8S ribosomal RNA, internal transcribed spacer 2, and large subunit ribosomal RNA". The stretch from base 1 to 120 matches the Rfam family "5.8S ribosomal RNA", at positions 35 to 154 of the family's 154-position model. The record is from RNAcentral.
GAUGAAGAACGCAGCGAAAUGCGAUAAGUAAUGUGAAUUGCAGAAUUCAGUGAAUCAUCGAAUCUUUGAACGCACAUUGCGCCCGCCAGUAUUCUGGCGGGCAUGCCUGUUCGAGCGUCAUUUCAACCAUCAAGCCCCCGGCUUGUGUUGGGGACCUGCGGCUGCCGCAGGCCCUGAAAUGCAGUGGCGGGCUCGCUGUCACUCCGAGCGUAGUAGUUACAUCUCGCUCUGGGCGUGCUGCGGGGUCCGGCCGUUAAAAGCCUUAUUUACCCAAGGUUGACCUCGGAUCAGGUAGGAAGACCCGCUGAACUUAAGCAUAUCAAUAAGCGGAGGA